AUUCAGACUAUGUUCGGCUGCAUGCUUAAUCAGAACUUCCUGUUUCUGACCAGAAAGAAGAUCGUGAUGCAACUGGCAGCAGCUAACAACCAGGUCAUGUACAGUUGGCCUACGAGGCGCUGAUCCGGUUCCUGAGGACAUCGUCUAACCAGGAAUCGAUUGCAGCAGAGCUCUCCGGGGCCGGUCUCCAACAUUUCAACUUUCAACGGCUAUUACAGGAACAGCUUUACACCUGAGACACAGCUGAUGGCACUCUUCAGCAUGUGGGACCUGGAUGUGUGGGAGCCUGCAGCAGAGCUGUAUUUUACAGUGCUUGUUGAUCAGCUGACAGAACUUUUAGUAGUUCUGUUUUCUCAGCCCCUGGAGCUCUACGACGACCCAGAAGCCUUGGUCACUGCAGUUACCCGACUCAUCAGGCAGCAUGUCCAGCUGAUGAUGAACACUUUGGAGAAGCUUUGAGCUAUGUAGUCCCUUAACCCUACACCUCCCCAUUCCCUGCCAUCCCUCACCCCAAACACACACACAUAC
Hemibagrus wyckioides is the source of this 528-nucleotide long non-coding RNA. RefSeq lists it as uncharacterized. The transcript is spliced from 5 exons. NCBI's taxonomy places the organism in Eukaryota, Metazoa, Chordata, Actinopteri, Siluriformes, Bagridae. The record is from RefSeq and is a predicted model, not a curated record.